Molecule: long non-coding RNA, 2931 nt
Organism: Catharus ustulatus (Swainson's thrush)
Lineage: Eukaryota; Metazoa; Chordata; Aves; Passeriformes; Turdidae
Exons: 2
Source: RefSeq, a predicted model, not a curated record
CAAAACACGUUUUCAUUUUGUCUGCACCAGCCUGGGCGCAGGCGAGAGCGGGAGAGAGGGAGGGAGAGGGAGGCGCACGCCAACAGAAAGCCGCCGUGCUCAGGAGCGGGCCUGCGGCCACGUCCCUCCGCAGCCGCCCCAGCAGCCGUUCCCGCUCCCUCGUCCCCCUCUCCCUGCCCACCCGGCUUCGCCUGCCAAGUCCGAGUUGGCACGGCUCCCCAGGCUGCGCCGAACAAAGCCGUCACCCAUCCCCGAGCCGGAGCUGACAGUAAGCAAAGUGACAGGCGCAUCUUCCGCAUGUUAAUCCAAACGGCGAGAAGGCGAGCGAGCGGCGGAGCCCCCCCGUGCCAUGCACACACAGCCCCCCGCCACCGAGCCACCCACCCCACCCUUGGCACCCGACGGCCCCGGUGGCCUCGUGCGGGGAUGGCGAGGCCCCAGCCGGCGGGAGCACCGAAGGCUCCUCGUCGGCGAGGUUUAAAUCGAGCCGAAGCCCUGCUCGGCGGGCAAACGAGGCCACUCGGCAUCUGCUGUACCUGUUCCCGCUGCCUUCAUCUCGCCUUGGAACCGUGACAAGAGCGCACUCGCCUCUGGUGGGCUCUCAAAGCCGCGGGUCUGUAACCCUUUGCAGGAAGUUGGCACCGAUCCCAGGAAUUAUUUGCCUACGUGGAGCUUGGCGCUGCGGGAGAACAGAGCAAACAGCCUUAUCGAGGGCAGCUGUGCCACAGGGCACUUCCUCAUGCGUGGCUGCAAGAUGGGGCCCUCCAUGGCUGCAGGGGAGGGCUGGCAGCCCCUGGCUUCCCACUGACCACACACACACCAGGAGACACCAGGCACCAUCCAGGCACUGGGACAGCUCUCUGGGAUGCUUCCUCCCAGCUCCACGGUGGGACAGUGGCACGGCCAGGAGGGGGUUUGGACUGAACUGAAGGGUGUUCAGCAGGACGGCUCUGCAGGGGAAAGGGGAGGAUGGAACAGUCGCUCUGAGCUCAGCUGCACUUCCCUGGGCACAAAGGCUCAUCUCACUGCUUCCCAGAUCCUGCCAGACUCGAGCAUCCCAGCGGAGAGACAGACCAGCCUUGACCUGAGAUCCCCUCUCCUGGCUGCUGUCGCUGCCUGCCUUGUCCCCCAGGCAGCUGGGAGCAGAUGAGGCCAAAGUCUCGGCAAUCUCAGUUUUCCACUGGAGGCUGAUAAACAGCAUGGGCACGGAACGGCAGCGAUCCCCACCCAGGCUGGCUUUGUGCAGGAGAGUCAAUAUUUAAACCAGGGUUUGUUUCCUGGGCAGACAGGGGAGUGCCAGUGGGAGAACACCCCGGCUCCAUCCUGGGCGCCAGACCCAAACCUCCUCCUCCACCCCUCCAUUUGUUCUCCCGACCACAUGCUCCAGCCUGGAUCCUCUCUCCUGUGGGAAUGGGGCCCCAUCCCCUUCAGCUGGGAUACCUGAGCACCAUCUGCAGGGCCAGGCACUGACUAACGGGUAGCAAUUUAAGGGAGAGGAUGCUCAGCCAGCUUUGGGUUAUCUCCUUGCCUGCUCCUCGUGCAGGGUCCUCGUGGUGGGGCUGCUCAAAUGGAGCAUGGGACAACAAGAAUCAGGGAUAGAAACGAGGUGAGGAAAUAUUCAAUCAUCCUAAGAAUGGCAGCCCCUUGCUUCAAAGUAAGGCAGUGCACUGAAAGCUUUAAAACCUGGUUUUCAUUUAAACUGAGCAAAAACUACAGUCAACUGUUGGGUUUUCAGCCAAGUUUGUGAACCCUGAUGAACUGGGCAGAAAUUACUGGCAGGAUGCAUGCACUGGUGCAGCUUUAGGUAAAUCCCUUAGGUAAAUUCCGUAGGUAAAUUCCUCAAAGGACAGGAAAUACCACUUUCCCUGCAGUGGCUGCAGGAGGUUUGAAGGCAUGUGAGCAGCAGAAGGUGGGUUUAAUCUGGAGGGUAAAGGUACAUGCUGCUGGGCAGGUGCUGUGUGACCUGGCAGAUGCAAUGCCCUGUGUUGGAGCAGGUGAUAAAAUAAAGUGAUAAAAGGCCAGUGGGGAAGGAUGGAGCUGUGAGGGGGAAGAUGGAAUUGCUGAGCCCACCUGACUGGUCUGACAGCAGCAAAUGGUCUCCAUCACCCCUUCCAGAAGAUCUCAGGGUCAAUUUUAACUCCAAAAACCUAAUUCCACACAUACUGUUUCAAGCACCCAAGCUCUCUGCUGCCUCCACCCUCACUCCAGAUACACCCACUGCAGUUUGCUCAGUCUUCUGUGGAGGUGAGGAAUCAGGGGAAAUCUGAGUUUUAAACAGCUGUUUAUGCCUUGAUUUGGAGAAAAGACCAAAGGAAGUGCCUGUCUUAAACUGAAACCUUCCCUGAGGGAGCACAUUAUACAGGGGGAAAAAAAAACCAAACCAAAAACCCAAACAAAAAAAACCCCAACCGACCAAAAAAACACCUGAUAGUUGUUUAAUAACUGUAUUUUAGAGCAUAAUUAAAUCCUCUUUGAAAUCAUCUCUGGUGUUAGGGAACAGGUCCAUGCAUUAUUUAACUGUAACACAAACUGGGAGAGAGGGAGGACAGACAGGACAGACUUCACAACACCAAAGGGAGCUGGGUGGGGGCUGCCAGUCCCAGCACGUACCACCACUGUCCUGCAAGCCCUGCCUGGGGUGUGCUUCGACCCUGCCUGCUGGAGGAAAACCCUGUGUCAUGGCAGGUCCCCACAAGACCAGGGUGAGAUGUGGCCCCAGCUGCUGCUGCUGCAGCACAUGGGAACCUGCUCAAGGAAUGCUAAACCUCUUCCCAGAGAGUGCAGCAUCACCUCUGUGCAAAAGACUGCUUCGUGGGGAACUGAAAUGGGGAAAAAUGCCUGGCUGCCAUCACAGCACAGACUGGUGCAAAGAAACUCUUGUCUGGGGAACUGAGCAUCAAUCCUGCCCUGGUGCCACUGAUGAGUUCUGCU